UUUUUUGAAGAAAAAACUUUUUGCAUUUAUAGGAAAUUAAGGAGUCAUCUAAACAAGAUACUGAGUAAUCAAACAGCAUAAUAUUAAUGGUAUGAAGCAGAUUGCACAAGCUACCAACACACAAAGGUCAAUAUAGAUUUUUGCUCAAGAGCUUAAAAAAGGGGGGGGAAAAAACCUUAAGUUCCAUCUAUGUUAAAAAGAAUCUUAUAGAAUCUAGAAACCCUUUUACAUCGGAGUCGGUCCGAUAGACAAACUAAAAUCAGAGCCUAAAACGCAAAUAAUCCCAGACAGACACAAGAAUGAACACUGUGUUCACCAAAUUUGCAACCACAUGACAUCCUUGAGACCUAUUCUCACUCAUUUCGCAAGCUAAGUUUGGCUGUUGAUGCCAGCUUUCUCUGCAACACCAACAACAUCAGCUACAGAAGUUUUUGAAGGCGGUGGCUCAGCACAUGCCUUCAAGACAGCUUCAUUCUGCCAAACCCUGAGGAGUCGCUUCUUGGCGUUGGCUUUACG
This 516-nucleotide unclassified non-coding RNA is filed under the name Hevea brasiliensis (rubber tree). The record is from RNAcentral. Lineage: Eukaryota; Viridiplantae; Streptophyta; Magnoliopsida; Malpighiales; Euphorbiaceae.